GUCGGCUUGUCCCUUCGG
RNAcentral lists this non-coding RNA (18 nucleotides) under Arabidopsis thaliana (thale cress). The record is from RNAcentral. Lineage: Eukaryota; Viridiplantae; Streptophyta; Magnoliopsida; Brassicales; Brassicaceae.